UACGAAGGGGGCUAGCGUUGCUCGGAAUUACUGGGCGUAAAGGGCGCGUAGGCGGCUCAUGAAGGCUGUGGUGAAAGUCCGGGGCUCAACCUCGGAUCGGCCGUGGCGACUCGUGGGCUGGAGCACUGUAGAGGCGGGUGGAAUUCCGGGUGUAGCGGUGGAAUGCGUAGAGAUCCGGAAGAACACCAGUGGCGAAGGCGGCCCGCUGGGCAGUGGCUGACGCUGAGGCGCGACAGCGUGGGGAGCAAACAGG
Molecule: ribosomal RNA, 253 nt
Filed under: uncultured bacterium
Lineage: Bacteria
Description: partial 16S ribosomal RNA
Rfam family: Bacterial small subunit ribosomal RNA
Source: RNAcentral